RNAcentral lists this transfer RNA (82 nucleotides) under Strongylocentrotus purpuratus (purple sea urchin). RNAcentral's name for it is "tRNA-Ser (TGA) (tRNA-Ser-TGA-1-1)". It matches the Rfam family "tRNA". Rfam says of the family: Transfer RNA (tRNA) molecules are approximately 80 nucleotides in length. Their secondary structure includes four short double-helical elements and three loops (D, anti-codon, and T loops). Lineage: Eukaryota; Metazoa; Echinodermata; Echinoidea; Camarodonta; Strongylocentrotidae. The record is from Rfam by way of RNAcentral.
GCUGCGAUGGCCGAGCGGUUAAGGCGUUGGACUUGAAAUCCAAUGGGGUCUCCCCGCGUAGGUUCAAAUCCUGCUCGCAGCG